Long non-coding RNA from Daucus carota subsp. sativus, 507 nucleotides. RefSeq lists it as uncharacterized. The transcript is spliced from 2 exons. Lineage: Eukaryota; Viridiplantae; Streptophyta; Magnoliopsida; Apiales; Apiaceae. The record is from RefSeq and is a predicted model, not a curated record.
AACCCCUCUUAUAAUUCAGUUGCAAACCGGUUCAGACCUUAUUUUUGAAAAUAAUUUCUACUUGUAUUUUUCGGGAAUCCCCCCCCACACCCACCACAUAAAAUUCGAACCCAUGGCAUUACGAGUUGAAAUUUGGUUCUGCUUUUCAAGAUUCAAACAUAUCCAACGAACAAGUGGAUCAAGAUUGUAGAUACCAGAAUGGUGGUAAAAGGAGUGAUGCACAAUCUUUGGAGGAAGCUUUAACUGAAAAACCUCAAAAUCUGGGCAAAAGCACGUCCAUGCAUGAGCAGGAGACAUGAAACAUCCAAGAGGACCUUACAGCAGAAACUGAACAAAAAUGGUGGAUAAAUUGAAACAAUGGCCCGAACUCUGUGAUUCGAGAGCCUGAGACUAGUAAAACUAGGAGCUGAGCUAGGAUUCACGACGAUUUCUCCUGAAAAUCUUCUGUCCAGGUGCAAGAAUGGCCUUGGGAUCGUAUUUAGCCUUCCUUUCUACGAAUCGUGACCA